CUGGGGAUUUCAACAGUUGCGUGGUCCCAGAAUGACAGAGUUGGCAAACCAGGUUUGACCCCUGAGACUACACACCUAACGGCUUGGCUAGAACCGUUUUAAAGGCUCAACCACUCAGUGAGGAAACUCAAUAAUUCUGACCCUAACAGAGCAAGAGGCCUGACCUUCACACCUAUGUAACCCAAGGUCACAGAAAUGCUGAGGGGCCAUGUGACUCCAGUGAAGCAGGAGUAUCCAUCCAGCCACAGAGAUGGGACCUGUCCAAAUGGGACCUGUCUGUUCCAAAGGUUAUUCUGCUUGAAAAUCAGGCCAGGCAUGGUGGCUCACAACUGUAAUCCCA
Molecule: long non-coding RNA, 340 nt
Filed under: Homo sapiens (human)
Lineage: Eukaryota; Metazoa; Chordata; Mammalia; Primates; Hominidae
Description: HSALNT0354352
Source: RNAcentral